AAAAAGUUAUUAAAAUAGUUAGUAUUUAUUAUUUAUUUACAAAAAAUAUAAAGGUUAUAGAAAAAUAUUAAAUAAUUAAUUUAGUAGGUUUUCACGCCCUACAUUACUAAACCACGCAGUUAAUAUAGGAUCAAUGGCAGGAAUUUAAAUGGCAGAAAAAUAAAUGGCAGAAAAAUAAAAUGGCAGAAAAUAAAUGGCAGAAAAUAAAAUCCUAAUUAUUACAACGCUUUGGUGCAGUUACAUAAUAAAGAUGGCGAAAAGUAAAACUGAAAAUAUUACAAGUUAAAACUUAAAAUAUUACAAGGGCGAAGCAGUUACAGUGUAUGAAUAACAUAAAUAUGAGCGAAAAUAGGAAAUAAUAAUAAGGUUUGUUAAGGUUUAAGAAAAGGUUUAUGGUUGAGAGGAAAUAACACGGUUAAAGUUUUAGGUUUGAAAUUUAGAGUUUGUGGCGAAAUUGUCAGGGUUUAGGAAAAAUCAGGGUAGUUAGUUAUGAAAAAAAAUGUGGAGAUCUAAAAAUAUGAAUUAAAAAAAAA
Molecule: long non-coding RNA, 533 nt
Filed under: Lathyrus oleraceus (garden pea)
Lineage: Eukaryota; Viridiplantae; Streptophyta; Magnoliopsida; Fabales; Fabaceae
Description: Pisum sativum (pea) long non-coding RNA (PSAT_LNC017044)
Source: RNAcentral